Molecule: ribosomal RNA, 460 nt
Filed under: uncultured bacterium
Lineage: Bacteria
Description: partial 16S ribosomal RNA
Rfam family: Bacterial small subunit ribosomal RNA
Source: RNAcentral
CCUACGGGGCGCAGCAGUGAGGAAUAUUGGUCAAUGGACGAGAGUCUGAACCAGCCAAGUAGCGUGAAGGAUGACUGCCCUAUGGGUUGUAAACUUCUUUUAUAUGGGAAUAAAAUGUUCCACGUGUGGGAUUUUGUAUGUACCAUAUGAAUAAGGAUCGGCUAACUCCGUGCCAGCAGCCGCGGUAAUACGGAGGAUCCGAGCGUUAUCCGGAUUUAUUGGGUUUAAAGGGAGCGUAGGUGGAUUGUUAAGUCAGUUGUGAAAGUUUGCGGCUCAACCGUAAAAUUGCAGUUGAAACUGGCAGUCUUGAGUACAGGAGAGGUGGGCGGAAUGCGUGGUGUAGCGGUGAAAUGCUUAGAUAUCACGAAGAACUCCGAUUGCGAAGGCAGUUCACUGGACUGCAACUGACACUGAGGCUCGAAAGUGUGGGUAUCAAACAGGAUUAGAUACCCGUGUAGUC